AACGACUCAGACCUUGGCCACAAAAACCAUUUUCUUAUGAAUCUAGGCCUGAAGCUGUGGCGACACCGAUGAUCAUCGGUUCGGCAAUAAUUUCAUCAUGGAAUUGAUGGGUGAAGGAGUGAAAUACCAGACUAAAGGAAGUUGAGAUUCGACCAUCAAUCUGAACUGAUCGAUUAAUAUUAGUCAUCUGCAAGUAAACACUGUCUCCGGGUACCUCCGUCUCAAAUAUAAAGAAGCCGAAGAANNNNN
RNAcentral lists this long non-coding RNA (249 nucleotides) under Panax ginseng (ginseng). RNAcentral's name for it is "long non-coding RNA (PGIN_LNC014095)". Lineage: Eukaryota; Viridiplantae; Streptophyta; Magnoliopsida; Apiales; Araliaceae. The record is from RNAcentral.